This 495-nucleotide ribosomal RNA is filed under the name uncultured bacterium. RNAcentral describes it as "partial 16S ribosomal RNA". It matches the Rfam family "Bacterial small subunit ribosomal RNA", at positions 28 to 507 of the family's 1533-position model. The record is from RNAcentral.
GAUGAACGCUGGCGGCGUGCCUAAUACAUGCAAGUAGAACGCUGAAGGAGGAGCUUGCUCUUCUGGAUGAGUUGCGAACGGGUGAGUAACGCGUAGGUAACCUGCCUGGUAGCGGGGGAUAACUAUUGGAAACGAUAGCUAAUACCGCAUGACAACAGUUAUUGCAUGAUAACUGUUUAAAAGGGGCAACUGCUCCACUACCAGAUGGACCUGCGUUGUAUUAGCUAGUUGGUGAGGUAACGGCUCACCAAGGCGACGAUACAUAGCCGACCUGAGAGGGUGAUCGGCCACACUGGGACUGAGACACGGCCCAGACUCCUACGGGAGGCAGCAGUAGGGAAUCUUCGGCAAUGGACGGAAGUCUGACCGAGCAACGCCGCGUGAGUGAAGAAGGUUUUCGGAUCGUAAAGCUCUGUUGUAAGAGAAGAACGAGAGUGAGAGUGGAAAGUUCACACUGUGACGGUAUCUUACCAGAAAGGGACGGCUAACUACGUG